Molecule: ribosomal RNA, 253 nt
Filed under: uncultured bacterium
Lineage: Bacteria
Description: partial 16S ribosomal RNA
Rfam family: Bacterial small subunit ribosomal RNA
Source: RNAcentral
UACAGAGGGUGCAAACGUUGUUCGGAAUUACUGGGCGUAAAGCGCGUGUAGGCGGUCCGGUAAGUCCGCUGUGAAAGUCGGGGGCUCAACCCUCGAAUGCCGGUGGAUACUGUCGGGCUAGAGUGCGGAAGAGGCGAGUGGAAUUCCUGGUGUAGCGGUGAAAUGCGCAGAUAUCAGGAGGAACACCGAUUGCGAAGGCAGCUCGCUGGGACGUUACUGACGCUGAGACGCGAAAGCGUGGGGAGCAAACAGG